Molecule: non-coding RNA, 117 nt
Filed under: Thermobispora bispora
Lineage: Bacteria; Bacillati; Actinomycetota; Actinomycetes; Streptosporangiales; Streptosporangiaceae
Also listed under: 1 other name
Description: TPP sequence
Rfam family: TPP riboswitch aptamer (THI element)
About the family: Vitamin B(1) in its active form thiamin pyrophosphate (TPP) is an essential coenzyme that is synthesised by coupling of pyrimidine and thiazole moieties in bacteria. The previously detected thiamin-regulatory element, thi box was extended, resulting in a new, highly conserved RNA secondary structure, the THI element, which is widely distributed in eubacteria and also occurs in some archaea. Analysis of operon structures identified a large number of new candidate thiamin-regulated genes, mostly transporters, in various prokaryotic organisms.
Source: RNAcentral
CGAUCGAACCGCGGGAGCUCGGGCCUGACCGGGCUGAGAGGGCGGCUGACACGGCGCCGCCGACCGCCUGAACCUGUCCGGGUAAUACCGGCGUAGGGAGUGUGCGAUGACGUCUGG